RNAcentral lists this ribosomal RNA (301 nucleotides) under uncultured bacterium. Its description in RNAcentral is "partial 16S ribosomal RNA". It matches the Rfam family "Bacterial small subunit ribosomal RNA", at positions 509 to 807 of the family's 1533-position model. The record is from RNAcentral.
CAGUAGCCGCGGGAAUACGUAGGGUGCGAGCGUUAAUCGGAAUUACUGGGCGUAAAGCGUGCGCAGGCGGUUCGUUAAGACAGAUGUGAAAUCCCCGGGCUUAACCUGGGAACUGCAUUUGUGACUGGCGAGCUAGAGUAUGGCAGAGGGGGGUAGAAUUCCACGUGUAGCAGUGAAAUGCGUAGAGAUGUGGAGGAAUACCGAUGGCGAAGGCAGCCCCCUGGGCCAAUACUGACGCUCAUGCACGAAAACGUGGGGAGCAAACAGGAUUAGAUACCCCAGUAGUCCCUGUCUCUUAUAC